UAACAGGAUUAGAUACCCGGGUAGUCCACGCCGUAAACGAUGGAUACUAGCUNGUUGGAGGUAUCGACCCCUUCAGUAGCGAAGCUAACGCGUUAAGUAUCCCGCCUGUGGAGUACGGUCGCAAGACUAAAACAUAAAGGAAUUGACGGGGACCCGCACAAGCGGUGGAUCAUGUUCUUUAAUUCGAUGCUAAACGAAGAACCUUACCAGGGCUUGACAUCCCGAGAAUUUUGCCGAAAGGCGAGAGUGCUUUAUUGAACUCGGUGACAGAUGAUGCAUGGCCGUCGUCAGCUCGUGUCGUGAGAUGUUUGGUUAAGUCCAUCAACGAGCGCAACCCUUGUGAUUAGUUGUAUUUUUCUAAUCAUA
This 366-nucleotide ribosomal RNA is filed under the name uncultured Candidatus Saccharibacteria bacterium. Its description in RNAcentral is "bacterial SSU rRNA". It matches the Rfam family "Bacterial small subunit ribosomal RNA", at positions 770 to 1133 of the family's 1533-position model. The record is from RNAcentral. Lineage: Bacteria; Candidatus Saccharimonadota.